This 2455-nucleotide long non-coding RNA is filed under the name Sus scrofa (pig). RNAcentral's name for it is "lncRNA (ENSSSCG00065005557.1)". The stretch from base 1386 to 1483 matches the Rfam family "mir-544 microRNA precursor family". Lineage: Eukaryota; Metazoa; Chordata; Mammalia; Artiodactyla; Suidae. The record is from RNAcentral.
AGUGUGAAACAUUCAGAGGAGACUCUUUAGUUCUUUGGAAGAAGGCAGGGGAAAAAGAAAAUAUCCUUCAAAAAUGGCAAUGGUAUCUGAAUUCCUUAAGCAGGCCUGGUUUAUUGACAAUGAAGAGCAAGAAUACAUUAAAACUGUGAAAGGAUCCAAAGGUGGUCCUGGGUCAGCAGUGAGCCCCUAUCCUACCUUCAAUCCAUCCUCAGAUGUUGAAGCCUUGCAUAAAGCGAUAACAGUGAAAGGUGUGGAUGAAGCAACCAUCAUUGAAAUUCUAACUAAGAGAACCAAUGCACAGCGUCAGCAGAUCAAGGCAGCAUAUCUCCAGGAGAAAGGAAAGCCCCUGGAUGAAGCUCUGAAGAAAGCCCUCACAGGUCACCUUGAGGAAGUUGCUUUGGCUUUGCUGAAAACUCCAGCUCAGUUUGAUGCUGACGAACUCCGUGCUGCCAUGAAGGGCCUUGGAACUGAUGAAGACACUCUGAAUGAAAUUUUGGCAUCAAGAACUAACAGAGAAAUCAGAGAAAUUAACAGAGUGUAUAAAGAAGAACUGAAGAGAGAUCUGGCUAAAGACAUUACCUCAGACACAUCUGGAGAUUAUCAGAAGGCUUUGCUUUCUCUUGCUAAGGGUGACCGAUCUGAGGACCUUGCUAUAAAUGAUGACUUGGCUGAUACAGAUGCAAGGGCUUUAUAUGAAGCAGGAGAACGAAGAAAAGGGACAGAUUUGAAUGUGUUCAUUACCAUUCUUACUACCAGAAGCUAUCCUCAUCUUCGCAGAGUGUUUCAGAAGUAUUCCAAGUACAGCAAGCAUGACAUGAACAAAGUUCUGGACCUGGAGUUGAAAGGUGACAUCGAGAAUUGCCUUACAGUUGUUGUGAAAUUACAUCAUCAGCUGUCUCAUAAUUUACAAAGAAAUAUAACAAAAUGAAACAAAAACUCAGAUGUAAUUUAUCUGUGUUUCAAAUAGAGGCAACAGGUAAGAUAAUGGCAAUAAAUGUUCAGCUGAAGUUAUACGAUGAUCUUCCUAGUAAUAACAGAUAUUAUUUCCUUUUUCAAAAAGAUGUGCAUGUGAAUAGUAUUUACUGAGCACCUGCUUAUACCCUGCAAUACGCCAGGCUGGGGUUGGCACAGAGGAAAGUCAAAGAGGUUAUUAAGAGCAUGGGAUUUGGAAUUAGAUAAGUACAGAUCCACAUUCUAGUCUGGCACUUGCUAAUUGAGUAAUCUUGGGCAAGUCCAGGUUUGAUUCAGUAGGUCUCUGGUGCCUUCUGAAAAGUCUUCAGAAGAGAAAAAGAUUUUAAAGGUUUCCCAUUUUAUUCAGAUGACCAGUCACAGUUUGGGAACCUGCAUUCUAAAGCAGUGCUUCUCAAACAUUCAUGUGCAUAUGAAUCCCUUGGGAAUCUUGUUAAAAUGCAGAUUCUGACUCAGUAGUUUUGGAGUAGGCUCUGGGAUUCUGCAUUUCUAACAAGCUCUAAGUUGAUGCUACUUCUUAAGGUUUGAGUAUCAAGGUAGAGGAUCUUAACAUCUGCUGGUGUUUUAUAUGGCAGCUACUUUAUGUUUUAAGCUGUUCUAUUCCACUUAAAAUAUUAUUUCUUACUACAAGAUGAAAGAAGUAUUUCUCGAGCACCUACUGGUUUCCCUGUUUCCAGGAAGAGUAUAUUCAGGGCAGUAUGAGUUGUUGCACUUGCUACUGGGUAGAUUUAAAAUAAUAGGAUAUAAGCGAUGUUGUCAGGAGACAGAAUAUUCAAAAUCACCAUCUACAGAAGAGCUUCUUAUAAGCCAAAUAUCCCAUAUUAGGAUGGGAGGUGAGAAACAGGAAUGGAGAAUGGAAUCCUACUUACAAAACUCUUUAUUUCCUGUUUCUUUCAAAUGCAUCUUUCUUCUUUUGUGGUAAAUAUGUCAACUAAAAUAUGCCUCCCUUUUAGUGAAGUGUGCUACAAGCAAACCAAUGUUCUUUGCUGAGAAGCUUCAUCAGGCCAUGAAGGGUAUUGGAACUCGUCAUAAGACACUGAUCAGGAUUAUGGUUUCCCGUUCUGAAAUUGACAUGAAUGACAUCAAAGCAUGCUAUCAGAAGUUGUAUGGUAUCUCCCUCUGCCAAGCCAUCCUGGAUGAAACCAAGGGAGAUUAUGAAAAAAUUCUGGUUGCUCUAUGUGGAGGAGACUAAACGUUCCUUUGAUGAUCUCAAGCUUUUUGAUCAGCAGUCUUUUUAAUCAUAUCUUUUCAUUCCGUAUCAUAGACUUAAAUAAGAAAAUUUCUUCAGCAGGAUUAUAGUCUAGCUAACUCCUUUCUGAAAAAUAUAGCCUAUAAAUCAUUUUUUGUAUUACAACUUUAUAUAAUAGAGAUAAGUUUUUUAAAAAAUAUAUUUACCCCAAACUAUAGAACCCCAUGAAGAGGUUGUUCUAGUAACAUUGUCUGAGGAAUAUGUUUAUGUCACAGAAAAUAAAAUGAUUUUACAGGC